GGAAGUAAAAGCCGUAACAAGGUUUCCGUAGGUGAACCUGCGGAAGGAUCAUUAUUGUAUAACCGAGGUGCGAGGGCUGUCGCUGACUCGAAAGGUCGUGCACGCCCGAGUGCCCUCACACACAUCCAUCUCACCCCUAUGUGCACCACCGCGUGGGUCCCCCUUUGGCUUGUUCGGAGGGGGGCUUACGUUUUCACACAAACUUUGUAUGCAGUGUAGAAUGUAUUUUUUGUUUUUGCGAUCACGCAAUCAAUACAACUUUCAACAACGGAUCUCUUGGCUCUC
Molecule: unclassified non-coding RNA, 285 nt
Filed under: plant metagenome
Description: partial contains small subunit ribosomal RNA, internal transcribed spacer 1, and 5.8S ribosomal RNA
Rfam family: Eukaryotic small subunit ribosomal RNA (bases 1-54)
Source: RNAcentral